UACGGAGGGUGCAAGCGUUGCUCGGAAUUAUUGGGCGUAAAGGGUAGGUAGGUGGUCUCAUUUGUCUGAGGUGAAAGCCUUGAGCUUAACUCAAGAAGUGCCUUAGAAACGGUGAGACUGGAGUCCUGGAGAGGGUCGUGGAAUUCCCGGUGUAGCGGUGAAAUGCGUAGAGAUCGGGAGGAACACCAGAGGCGAAAGCGGCGACCUGGACAGGCACUGACACUCAACUACGAAAGCGUGGGGAGCAAACAGG
RNAcentral lists this ribosomal RNA (253 nucleotides) under uncultured bacterium. RNAcentral describes it as "partial 16S ribosomal RNA". It matches the Rfam family "Bacterial small subunit ribosomal RNA", at positions 524 to 776 of the family's 1533-position model. The record is from RNAcentral.